Molecule: ribosomal RNA, 515 nt
Filed under: Lactobacillus jensenii
Lineage: Bacteria; Bacillati; Bacillota; Bacilli; Lactobacillales; Lactobacillaceae
Description: bacterial SSU rRNA
Rfam family: Bacterial small subunit ribosomal RNA
Source: RNAcentral
GACGAACGCUGGCGGCGUGCCUAAUACAUGCAAGUCGAGCGAGCUUGCCUAUAGAAAUUCUUCGGAAAUGGACAUAGAUACAAGCUAGCGGCGGAUGGGUGAGUAACGCGUGGGUAACCUGCCCUUAAGUCUGGGAUACCAUUUGGAAACAGAUGCUAAUACCGGAUAAAAGCUACUUUCGCAUGAAAGAAGUUUAAAAGGCGGCGUAAGCUGUCGCUAAAGGAUGGACCUGCGAUGCAUUAGCUAGUUGGUAAGGUAACGGCUUACCAAGGCGAUGAUGCAUAGCCGAGUUGAGAGACUGAUCGGCCACAUUGGGACUGAGACACGGCCCAAACUCCUACGGGAGGCAGCAGUAGGGAAUCUUCCACAAUGGACGAAAGUCUGAUGGAGCAACGCCGCGUGAGUGAAGAAGGUUUUCGGAUCGUAAAGCUCUGUUGUUGGUGAAGAAGGAUAGAGGUAGUAACUGGCCUUUAUUUGACGGUAAUCAACCAGAAAGUCACGGCUAACUACGUGCC